Molecule: long non-coding RNA, 824 nt
Filed under: Ananas comosus (pineapple)
Lineage: Eukaryota; Viridiplantae; Streptophyta; Magnoliopsida; Poales; Bromeliaceae
Description: long non-coding RNA (ACOM_LNC010930)
Source: RNAcentral
GAUGGAUUGAUUUAGUUUACUACGGUAAUUUAUUUCAGAUAAAAAAAAGGUAAAAAUGCAGGCUAAUUUAUCUAAACUAUGAAUCAUUUUGAAUCGAUUAUUCAAUAUUUCAAAUUUUUUAUUUUAUUAUCCAACAUUUUAGUAUAUUUAAUUUGAUUCAGUUAACGAUAUUUUGAUUUAAAAAUGUAAACUAGUUAUUUAUUUUAAUAAAUUUAUAAUUAUAAGAAUUGUAUAAAGUAUACUAACUAAACAUAUAAAGAUACAUGACGUAUUCAAAUUUUGAAGUCAAAAUGCGCUGACUGAUUUAAAUCAAAACAAAUUGAAAAGCAUUAGAUCAUCAGAUUAAAGUUUUCAAAGAUUGAAUAGUUAUUUUAAACUGGAUCAUAGUUUAGAUAAAUUCUGUACAUUUUUACCGAUAUAUAUAUAUAGUAUAGAGCUACUAUGCUAUCAGAAGUAUAAAGUAGUCGGUGCUUUUGAUUUUUUAGCUCUUGGAUUAAAAAUUUUAUGGUUGGGAUGAUAGCGGUCCCCUUAGUGUUGAGUGGUCCUCAUUGGUUAAUAAUAUUAAUCUAAUGAUUAGAAAUGAUCAAUGGAGUUGAUCUAAGGGCUAAAAAAUCGGUAGUUGGUGCUUCCGAUUUUUUAGCUCUUAGAUCAAAGAUUUUAUAAUUGGGAUGAUAGCGGUUCCUUUAGGAUUGAGUGGUCCCCAUUGGUUAUAAUAUUAAUCUAAUGGUUAGAAAUGAUCAAUGGAGUUGAUCUAAGGGCUAAAAAAUUGAAAGCACUAAUCAAUUUAUACUUCCGAUAGCAUAGUAACUCUACUAUAUAUAUAU